UAUGCCAAGCAUGACAUGAAAUUGCAUUUUAUUUUGCAAUAAGAGUAUUUACGAUUUAAUUGUUUUUUUUUUUAUAUAAUUCCAAUUAUUUAAGAAAAUCGAGUAAGGAUAUUGUUGGUGUCCUUAACUCAAGAAUUUAGUUUUCAAUUAUUUAUUUACUAAAUUUUGAAAACCCGGCGUGAUGAAUCAAGUAUGUUUAGUACAUCCACUAAGACUUUAAGUUAGCUUCACGAGACCUAUUAAGAAUAGAAUUUCUUGUAGGCUUUAUGAACCAAGGGGAUUAGCGCUGCUUUCCCAAGACGAGUUUAUGUGAUUAUGAUCUUCAGGCUUUGCCUAUCCAGGUUGGCUGGCCGGUGCUGACGGGACGGAGCUGAGGCUAGAGUUAAAUUCCUAUGUUAGACUGCCGCUGUAGCAAUUACUCAUAUCAGUCUUUUGUUUUCCCAACUUAAGAUCUUCAUGUUAAAUUUCAAAUGAUAUACCUGACCGAGCUUAGACUCUUCACUACUAAAUUUAUGCUAAUGAAUGUCGGUUGUCAGAAGCAUGAAAUAAAACUUGUGAUCCAAAGGGGCAUAGCCCGACUUUCUAUCCUAUUUCGGUUUUAACAAGGUUUU
Salvia miltiorrhiza (redroot sage) is the source of this 611-nucleotide long non-coding RNA. RefSeq lists it as uncharacterized. Lineage: Eukaryota; Viridiplantae; Streptophyta; Magnoliopsida; Lamiales; Lamiaceae. The transcript has 2 exons. The record is from RefSeq and is a predicted model, not a curated record.